Molecule: ribosomal RNA, 516 nt
Filed under: Triticum aestivum (bread wheat)
Lineage: Eukaryota; Viridiplantae; Streptophyta; Magnoliopsida; Poales; Poaceae
Description: partial small subunit ribosomal RNA
Source: RNAcentral
AUGAUCUCUCAGCGCCUUUUCUUUCCCCGCUCCAGCUCGCUUGAGCUCCAGGCCUACUCUGAUGCUACCUGGGCUAGUGAUCCCUCUGAUCGUCGCUCGUUGUCUACUUAUUGUGUCUUUGUUGGUGGCUCUCUUAUUGCCUGGAAGACCAAGAAACAGACUGUAGUUUCUCGCUCGAGUACAGAGGCUGAGUUGCGAGCCAUGGCUAUGCUGAUGGCUGAGGUGAUCUGGUUACGGUGGCUACUUGGGGAUUUUGGUGUGUCUGCUACUACCUCGACUCCCUUAUUGUCAAAUAGUACUGGCACUAUCAGUAUUGCGCGUGACCCGGUGAAGCAUGAGCUCACCAAGCACAUAGGUGUGGAUGCCCACUUUGUGCGUGCUGCUGUGCAGGAUCAGAAUCUAGCUCUUCACUAUGUGCCCUCUGAGUUACAGUUGGUGGACUUCUUCACGAAGGCUAAGACUCGCGCGCAGCAUGGUUUUCUUCUCUCCAAACUCAGUGUUGUCGAUCCACCAUGA